RNAcentral lists this unclassified non-coding RNA (561 nucleotides) under uncultured Bordetella sp. RNAcentral's name for it is "partial 16S-23S ribosomal RNA intergenic spacer". It matches the Rfam family "Bacterial small subunit ribosomal RNA", at positions 12 to 578 of the family's 1533-position model. Lineage: Bacteria; Pseudomonadati; Pseudomonadota; Betaproteobacteria; Burkholderiales; Alcaligenaceae. The record is from RNAcentral.
UUCGAUUAUGGCUCAGAUUGAACGCUGGCGGGAUGCUUUACACAUGCAAGUCGAACGGCAGCACGGACUUCGGUCUGGUGGCGAAUGGCGAACGGGUGAGUAAUGUAUCGGGACGUGCCUAGUAGCGGGGGAUAACUACGCGAAAGCGUAGCUAAUACCGCACGCCCUUCGGGGGAAAGCAGGGGACGCUGGAGCCCUCUUGCUAUUGACGGCGAACAUCGGAUUAGCUGGUUGGUGGGGUAACGGCUCGCAAGGCGACGAUCCGUAGCUGAGGUUUGAAGGACGACCAGCCGCACUGGGACUGAGACACGGCCCAGACUCUACGGGAGGCAGCAGUGGGGAAUUUUGGACAAUGGAAACCUGAUCCAGCCAUCCCGCGUGUGCGAUGAAGGCCUUCGGGUUGUAAAGCACUUUUGGCAGGAAAAAAACGGCACGGGAUAAUACCCCGUGCAACUGACGUACCUGCAGAAUAAGCACCGGCUAACUACGUGCCAGCAGCCGCGGUAAUACGUAGGGUGCAAGCGUUAAUCAGAUUACUGGGCGUAAAGCGUGCGCGGGCGG